Molecule: long non-coding RNA, 1355 nt
Filed under: Cyanistes caeruleus (blue tit)
Lineage: Eukaryota; Metazoa; Chordata; Aves; Passeriformes; Paridae
Description: lncRNA (ENSCCEG00000001447.1)
Source: RNAcentral
GGGCCUCUCCCUGCUCUGGUGUCACAGAGAGGGGGAAAUUUAGGCUCUCACUGCUGUUGUAUCAGUGAGGGCGUAACACUGGGGCUGUCAUUGUUGUGGUGUCCAGAGAGGAUUAAAUUGGAGCUCACACUUCUAUGGUGUCCUAGACAGUGGAACGCUGGGCCUGACAUUGCUGUGGUGUAACAGAGAGGAGGCAAUUUGGGGCUGUCAUUACUGUGAUUCCACAGAGAGGGGAAGAGUCGGGCUGUCACUGCUGUGGUUUCAGCGAGAGAGUGAAAUGGAGGUAGUUAGAGCUGUGAUGUUACAGACAGGGGAAUACUGGGACUCGGAGUGCACUGCUGUCACCGAGAGCGGAACUUUGGGGCUCUCACUGCUGUGGUGUCACAGAGAGAGAAACAGCGGUGCUGUUGCUGCUGUGGUGUCAGAGAGUGGAACACUGGGCCUGACAUUGGUGUGGUUUGACAGAGAGGAGGCAAUUUUGGCUGCCACCGCUCUGGUUUCACAGAGAGGGCAACUUUUUGGCUGUCCCUGCUGUGGUGUCACGGAGACGGGAAUAUUGGAGCUGUCACUGCUGUGGUGUCUGAGAGAGGGAAACACUGGGCCUGUCAUUGCUGUGCAGUCAUGGAGAGGAGCACGUUGGAGCUCACACUGCUAUGAUGUCACAGGUAGGGUAACAGUGGCUCUGACAUUGCUGUGGUGUCCCAGAGAAGAGGAAAUUUGGGCCCUCACUGCUCUGGUGUCACAGAGAGGGGUAAAGUUGGGCUCUAACUGCUAUGGUGUCUCCAACAGGGUAAUCCUGGGCCUAAAAUGGCUGUCGUUUCACAGACAGGAGCAAUUUUGGGCUGUGGCUGCACUGCUGUCCCAGAGAGUGGAACUUUGGGGCUCACACUGCUCUGGUGUCCCAGAGAGGGGAACAUUGGAGCUGUCACUGCUGUGUUGUCACAGAGAGAGGAACUCUGGAGCUCUCCCUGCUCUGGAGUCACGGAGAGGAGGAAAUUGGGCAUGUCACUGCCCUGGUGUCACAGGGAAUGGAAGAGUGGGGCUGUCACUGCCGUGGAGUCCGAGAAAGGAGGAAAUUUGGUGUGUGACUGCUGUGGUGUCACAGCGAGUGGAACUUUGGGGCUCUCACUUCUGUGGUGGAAGAGAUGAAGAAAUAGGUGCUGUCACUGCUAUUGUGGUGUGACGGAGAAGAGGAAAUUUGGGCCUGUCAUUGCUGUGGUGUCACGGAGAGGAGCGCUUUGGAGCUCACACUGCUACGAUGUCACAGAUAGGGUUACACUGGCUCUGACAUUGCUGUGGUGUCACAGAGAGGAGGGAAUUAGGCCUCUCCCUGCUCUGGUGUCACAGAGAGGGGG